AGUGUUGUUGAACACGGAAAAUACCCAAAAAUAACACGGGGGUUGUUUGGCUUGAUUAUUAUCGAGAACUUAAUUCUCUCCAGCUUACUAUGGCACAGAGCCCUGGAACAGGAAUUUUCUAGAAACUACCAGGGUAGGCCAGGGGUCUAGAGGUCAGGCUGGCUUCCAGGAUCAUUCCAAAAAGAAAGCCAAAGUUCCUCUGCGGGCAUUUCCUCCCAGGCCUCCAGGGGCUGGUGCCAGCGCCCCAAAGGCCGCCCCUUGAGCCUUCCUGUCCUUUUCCGAGAAGGGGUGACGCUCCGUGCUGGAGCCGCGUCCCAGGGCGGUUUUUAUUUUCAGUACACAUCACGGAAAUUCAAGGACAGCAUCCCUGGGUGACGCGGCAAGCUCGAAGAGACUGUUCUGUACAGAGUGGCCCCAGCCUAUAAAUAGCCUCGGGCUUGGCCCAACAGUGCUUGCCACCUGCCCUGGCAAAUGCCCCCUCCCCUCCCCCCCGCCACCCCCCUCCAGCAACCCGGCAGGACUGGAGCUCUUCCCGAGCUGCGGAUUUUGUGGAUCAGCCCUGAAUAGCUAGACAGUGGACCUUCUCUCGGAAAUAGCCUCUGGAGCUGAGGAAAUGAGCCUGCGCGGCUUGGGGCUCUAUUAGGGCGUUUGGCCUGCCACCUUGUGGCCAAGUGUCGUUCUGCGCGGGCUUCUCUUGCACAGGGAAUCGUGCAUUCAGAGAAGUUUGUCUUUGGCAUCGCCCGACUGCCCCAUCCCAGCCUUAAAUUCAAAGGAUUAAGCCCGAGAUUCCGACAUUGGUCAUCCCGGGGGCAGACAUCUGCGGACAUCAGGAGCCUUGCUGUGCUUCUAUCAAAACUAGCUGAGUGGCCAAGGCAGCGAGGUGUGAGUCCCUUCCAAGGAAGGAAGGAAGGAAGGAAGGAAGGAAGGAAGGAAGGAAGGAAGGAAGGAAGAAAGAAAGAAAGAAAGACGAGAAGAAAGAAAGAAAGAAAGAAAGAAAAGAAAGAAAGAAGAAAGGGAAGAAGGAAGGAAGGAAGGAAGGAAGGAAACAAACAUUUACUAAAUGCCUACUAUGUGCCAGGGACUGCUAAGGGCUUUACAAAUAUUCUUACAUAGUCCUCAGAGGUAAGUGCUAUUAUUAUCCCCAUUUUACAACUGAAGAAACUAAGGCAGCCAGGUUAAGUGAUUUGCCCAGGGUGGCACAGCUAAUUUCUGAGGAUGUAUUUGAACUCAGGUCUUCCUGACUUUGGACCCACCACUCCAUCCACUGCACCACCUAGCUGCCUCUAUAAUGGAAUAGAGCUCUGGACUUGAAAUCGGGAGAUUGAAUUCUCUUCCUGGCUCUGCUUCUGAUGAGGCUCUUUGGAGCCUCAGUUGCCUCCUUUAUAAAGCUUAGCUAAGAAAACUUGGAUCGACCACCUCACAGAGAAUCUUGGCGCUGUAGAAAUGUGAGCCCUAGUUAUGCUAUUGGCUGGGUCACACUGGAGAAGUUCUUUCCUCUCCUGGAAUGGUUUCUUCCUUUGUGAAAGUAAGGAAUAACCGAAUGCUGUCAGAGCUAACAUUCUUUCUGCAAUGGAUGAGCUUGCCGCAUUUCCUUGGCCUUUAUUGCUGUGGAUAUCCAGGAUGAGCUCUGAAAGGAAGCCUUUAUCUUCCAUGGAGGAGAUGUGCCCCAUUGGGAAUGAAGCCAUUUGGAAUGCGUCUCCUAAUUUUUUUUUUCUUUAAAUCCUUACAUUCCAGAACCCCUGGCCCAAGUGCCAGACAAGGGGGAUCUCUAAAGAAAGAGAUGCCUCAGUGAAUUAAAAUCCAGGCCUAGAGAUGGGAGGUCCUGGGUUCAAAUCUGGCCUCAGACACUUCCUAGCUGUGUGCCUUGGAACAAGUCAUUUAAUCCUCAUUGCCUAGCCUUUACAACUCUUCUGCCUUAGAACCAAUGCUUAGUAUUUCUUCUAAGAUGGAAGGUAAGCUUGUUAUUUUUUAACCUCUGUUUUCUUAUUAGAAGGGUAUUUUAUUUUGCCAAUUACAAGUAAUAACAAACUUCCACAUAAGUUUUCCAGCAUUACAUGAUCCAAAUGAUCUCCCUUGCCCUGGAAGGUAAAUUUUAAAAAAACGACUUUCACAAUUAGAUCAGGAGAGCUUUUUCAGCAGAGGACACAGUGAAGUCUUUCAUGCUUUCAAGUCAACAUGGAUGGAGGUCCCUAACGAAGAGUUCUGAGGGCCUGGACUUGACUAAAAUCAAUGAAUUGUAUCUUUGAAAUUAGGAAGAGUUAUAGAGUUGAUAUAAGGAAAAACUACUUUGCCAUUGGAACUAUCCAGAAGUAGAGGAGACUCCCUUGAGAAGUGGCAGGUUUCUCUUCCUUGCCAGUCUUCAAGGAAAGGCUGUUAGUGGUAAAGGACAUUUGUUUAAGAUGUGAGACAGACAAGGUGGCCACUGUGGUUCUGGAUGAAGAUGUGGAUUAUACACAUAUCCAGUCUGCUGGUGGAAAAGACAAUUAACAGGUUGGACAAUGAAGGAUUCAAAAAAAAAAUUUCAGCAGGCUAAAAUAAUGGGCCAGAUCUAAUAAAGUGAAAUUUAGCAGAUCUAAUAUUUAUUGG
Molecule: long non-coding RNA, 2586 nt
Filed under: Monodelphis domestica (gray short-tailed opossum)
Lineage: Eukaryota; Metazoa; Chordata; Mammalia; Didelphimorphia; Didelphidae
Description: lncRNA (ENSMODG00000043054.1)
Source: RNAcentral